UCCACGCCCUAAACGAUGUUCACUAGUCGUCGGAAUGCUACUCAUUUCGGUGAUGCACUUAACAGAUUAAGUGAACCGCCUGGGGAGUACGGUCGCAAGAUUAAAACUCAAAGGAAUAGACGGGGACCCGCACAAGUGGGUGGAGCAUGUGGUUUAAUUCGAAAAUACGCGAAGAACCUUACCUAGCCUUGACAUUGAAGAAAUAGAUCAGAGAUGCCUUCGGGAGCUAAUUU
Molecule: ribosomal RNA, 233 nt
Filed under: uncultured bacterium
Lineage: Bacteria
Description: partial 16S ribosomal RNA
Rfam family: Bacterial small subunit ribosomal RNA
Source: RNAcentral